Molecule: ribosomal RNA, 1483 nt
Filed under: uncultured bacterium
Lineage: Bacteria
Description: bacterial SSU rRNA
Rfam family: Bacterial small subunit ribosomal RNA
Source: RNAcentral
GACGAACGCUGGCGGCGUGCCUAAUACAUGCAAGUUGAACGCAACAAAGACACCAGAGCUUGCUCUACCGUCUUUGUUGAGUAGCGAACGGGUGAGUAACGCGUGGGUAACCUGCCUUAUAGCGGGGGAUAACUAUUGGAAACGAUAGCUAAUACCGCAUAACAAUAGAGAUUGCAUAAUCUUUAUUUGAAAGUGCCAACUGGUACACUAUGAGAUGGACCCGCGUUGUAUUAGCUAGUUGGUAGUGUAAUGGACUACCAAGGCGAUGAUACAUAGCCGACCUGAGAGGGUGAUCGGCCACAUUGGGACUGAGACACGGCCCAAACUCCUACGGGAGGCAGCAGUAGGGAAUCUUCGGCAAUGGACGAAAGUCUGACCGAGCAACGCCGCGUGAGUGAAGAAGGUUUUCGGAUCGUAAAACUCUGUUGUUAGAGAAGAAUGUUGAUUAGAGUGGAAAAUUAAUCAAGUGACGGUAUCUAACCAGAAAGGGACGGCUAACUACGUGCCAGCAGCCGCGGUAAUACGUAGGUCCCGAGCGUUGUCCGGAUUUACUGGGCGUAAAGUGUCCGUAGCCGGGUAUAUAAGUCUGUUUUCAAAUACCACGACUCAAUCGUGGACAGGGAAUAGAUACUGUAUAUCUAGAGAAUAUUGGAGGUUAGUGGAAUUUCCGGUGGAGCGGUGAAAUGCGUUGAUAUCGGAAAGAACGCCGAAAGCGAAAGCAGCUAACUAUGAUACUUCUGACGGUGAUGGACGAAAGCUUGAGUAGCAAACGGGAUUAGAUACCCCGGUAGUUCAAGCUGUAAAUUAUCCUCGCUAGGUGUCUCCAUAACUUUUGUUAUAGCAUGUGUUAUGAUAAAAGUUAUGGAGGUGCCGUAAGUUAACACGUUAAGCGAGGCGCCUGAGUAGUAUAUUCGCAAGAAUGAAACUCAAAGGGAUAGGCGGGGGAACACACAAGCAGUGGAUGAUCUAGAUUAAUUGGAUAAUAAGCCAAGAAUCUUACCCAGACUUGACAUGGAUUGUGUCUACGAUGAAAGUCGUAUAGCUGUAGCAAUACAGCGCUUUUCACAGAUGGUGCAUGGUCGUCGUCAGCUCGUGCCGCAAGGUGUCUAGUUAAGUCUAGUAACGAGCGCAACCCUCAUCGUUAGUUAAAUAUGUCUAACGAGACUGCCCGCGUAAGCGGGAGGAAGGAGAGGAUGACGUCAGAUCCUCAUGCCUCUUACGUCUGGGGCUUCAUAGAUCAUACAAUGGGUAGUUACAAUGAGAAGCGAUACCGCAAGGUGGAGCAAAUCUUCAAAGCUACCCUCAGUUCGGAUUGUAGUCUGGAAUUCGACUACAUGAAGUUGGAAUUGCUAGUAAUGGCGAAUCAGCCAUGUCGCCGUGAAUAUGUCCCUGUUCCUUGCACUCACCGCCCGUCAAACCAUGGGAGUUGGGGCUCUCUAAAGAUUCACCAUGUGGGUUAAGGAGAGAACCGAUGACUGGGGUU